AUGGAGGGUGGCGGCGGAUGGGGUGAUCAGGCCGGGAAGGAUGGCGGAGGCGAGAGCACCAAGUACCGCGGGGUGCGCCGCCGCCCGUCCGGCAAGUUCGCGGCGGAGAUCCGCGACUCCAGCCGGCAGAGCGUCCGCAAAUGGCUUGGCACCUUCGACACAGCCGAGGAGGCCGCACGGGCCUACGACCGCUCGGCCUACGCCAUGCGCGGCCACCUGGCCGUGCUCAACUUCCCCGCCGAGGCGCGCAACUACGUCCGGGGUGGGUCGUCGUCGUCCCAGCAACAGGUGAUUGAGCUCGAGUGCCUGGAUGAUGCGGUGCUGCAGGACAUGCUCAGGGACGGGGGUGGUGGAAGGAAUAAUUAA
Molecule: ribosomal RNA, 366 nt
Filed under: Triticum aestivum (bread wheat)
Lineage: Eukaryota; Viridiplantae; Streptophyta; Magnoliopsida; Poales; Poaceae
Description: partial small subunit ribosomal RNA
Source: RNAcentral